This 492-nucleotide ribosomal RNA is filed under the name uncultured bacterium. RNAcentral describes it as "partial 16S ribosomal RNA". It matches the Rfam family "Bacterial small subunit ribosomal RNA", at positions 28 to 507 of the family's 1533-position model. The record is from RNAcentral.
GAUGAACGCUAGCUACAGGCUUAACACAUGCAAGUCGAGGGGAAACGACAUCGAAAGCUUGCUUUUGAUGGGCGUCGACCGGCGCACGGGUGAGUAACGCGUAUCCAACCUGCCCAUCACUUGGGGAUAACCUUGCGAAAGUAAGACUAAUACCCAAUGAUAUCUCUAGAAGACAUCUGAAAGAGAUUAAAGAUUUAUCGGUGAUGGAUGGGGAUGCGUCUGAUUAGCUUGUUGGCGGGGUAACGGCCCACCAAGGCAACGAUCAGUAGGGGUUCUGAGAGGAAGGUCCCCCACAUUGGAACUGAGACACGGUCCAAACUCCUACGGGAGGCAGCAGUGAGGAAUAGUGGGCAAUGGGCGAGAGCCUGAACCAGCCAAGUAGCGUGCAGGAAGACGGCCCUAUGGGUUGUAAACUGCUUUUAUAAGGGAAUAAAGUGAGAGUCGUGACUCUUUUUGUAUGUACCUUAUGAAUAAGGACCGGCUAAUUCCGUG